GGUGCCCGUACCGCAAACCGACACAGGUAGGUAGGAAGAAGAUUCUAAGGCCAACGGGAGAAGGGUUGUUAAGGAACUCGGCAAAUUGACCCCGUAACUUCGGGAGAAGGGGUGCUCCAGAGAUGGAGCCGCAGAGAAUCGGCCCAAGCAACUGUUUACCAAAAACACAGGUUUGUGCUAAAUCGAAAGAUGACGUAUACGAGCUGACGCCUGCCCGGUGCUGGAAGGUUAAGAGGAGAUGUGCAAGCAUUGAAUCGAAGCCCCAGUGAACGGCGGCCGUAACUAUAACGGUCCUAAGGUAGCGAAAUUCCUUGUCAGGUAAGUUCUGACCCGCAUGAAAGGCGUAAUGAUUUGGGCACUGUCUCAACAGCCCGCCCGGCGAAAUUGUAGUACCGGUGAAGAUGCCGGUUACCCGCGACAAGACGGAAAGACCCCAUGGAGCUUUACUGUAGCCUAAUAUUGGGUUUCGAUGUUGCAUGCACAGGAUAGAUGGGACACUGGGAAACAAGUGCUUUGGCAUUUGUGGAGUGGCCGUUGGGAUACCAUCCUUGCGAUAUUGGAAUUCUAACCUGCGCCUUUGAAUCAAGGCGGGGGACAUUGUUAGGUGGGCAGUUUGACUGGGGCGGUCGCCUCCUAAAGAGUAACGGAGGCGUUCAAAGGUUCGCUCAGCUUGAACGGAAAUCAAGCAAAAGAGUGCAAACGCAGAAGCGAGCCUAACUGCGAGACUGACGGGUCGAGCAGUAACGAAAGUUGGAGUUAGUGAUCCGGUGGUAUGUGAGUGGAAAUGCCAUCGCUCAACGGAUAAAAGUUACCCUGGGGAUAACAGGCUGAUCUCCCCCAAGAGUCCACAUCGACGGGGAGGUUUGGCACCUCGAUGUCGGCUCAUCGCAUCCUGGGGCUGUAUUCGGUCCCAAGGGUUUGGCUGUUCGCCAAUUAAAGCGGUACGCGAGCUGGGUUCAGAACGUCGUGAGACAGUUCGGUCCCUAU
RNAcentral lists this ribosomal RNA (987 nucleotides) under human gut metagenome. RNAcentral describes it as "bacterial LSU rRNA". It matches the Rfam family "Bacterial large subunit ribosomal RNA", at positions 1637 to 2641 of the family's 2925-position model. The record is from RNAcentral.